This 255-nucleotide ribosomal RNA is filed under the name uncultured bacterium. Its description in RNAcentral is "partial 16S ribosomal RNA". It matches the Rfam family "Bacterial small subunit ribosomal RNA", at positions 524 to 776 of the family's 1533-position model. The record is from RNAcentral.
UACGUAGGGUGCAAGCGUUGUCCGGAAUUAUUGGGCGUAAAGAGCUCGUAGGCGGUUUGUCGCGUCGGCUGUGAAAAGCCCGGAGCUCAACUCCGGGUCUGCAGUCGAUACGGGCAGACUUGAGUGUUGCAGGGGGAGACUGGAAUUCCUGGUGUAGCGGUGAAAUGCGCAGAUAUCAGGAGGAACACCCGUGGCGAAAGCGGCUCUCUGGAACGGUACUGACGCUGAGACGCGAAAGCUGGGGGAGCGAACGGG